This 162-nucleotide ribosomal RNA is filed under the name uncultured bacterium. RNAcentral's name for it is "partial 16S ribosomal RNA". It matches the Rfam family "Bacterial small subunit ribosomal RNA", at positions 305 to 504 of the family's 1533-position model. The record is from RNAcentral.
CCGCGGUAAAACCGGUUACUCCUACGGGUGCCAGCAGUGGGGAAUAUUGGACAAUGGGGGCAACCCUGAUCCAGCAAUGCCGCGUGGGUGAAGAAGGUCUUCGGAUUGUAAAGCCCUUUCGGCGGGGACGCGGUACCCGCAGAAGAAGCCCCGGCUAACUUC